RNAcentral lists this long non-coding RNA (372 nucleotides) under Homo sapiens (human). RNAcentral's name for it is "HSALNT0158786". The record is from RNAcentral. Lineage: Eukaryota; Metazoa; Chordata; Mammalia; Primates; Hominidae.
AGCCUUAUUGGAAGGACUAUACACAAUUUUCAUGGCCUUUAAACCAAGAGAAGACAUACCUGAGCAAUUGAACCAGAAGGGAUGAGCCCCACCUGGAUCUGAUGCAGAUUAAAAUAUCUUGGACCUUGGGCCUGAGCUUGGAAUGGAAUGAGACCUUUGAGGAUCUUAGUGGGGGGCUUGGAAUGUUUUAACCAAUAGAGUAUGCCAGAAGUGACCCAUAGAAUGUGACGGAAGAUCCCCUUGUCAUAAAACCAAUGCAUAAGAUACAACUGCAUCCAAUGUAUUCCAGGGAAAGAUUCUCUGCAGAUGACUCAAGGAAAGCCACAGGAGCAACAGGGAAACUGAAAGAACAAAUAUCACAGUUGAUUCAGA